This is a long non-coding RNA of Molossus molossus (Pallas's mastiff bat), 518 nucleotides long. RefSeq lists it as uncharacterized. The record is from RefSeq and is a predicted model, not a curated record. The transcript is spliced from 7 exons. Lineage: Eukaryota; Metazoa; Chordata; Mammalia; Chiroptera; Molossidae.
AGGACUCCAAUGCCAUAAAUGUUGGACCUUUUGUUAUAGUCUUACAGGUUCCUGAGACUCUGUGGUCCAUCCAUGAUGUUGCAAAAGGUUCUGUUUUAGUUGUCUCUUGCAUUAUAUCCAAGGCUUUUUAGUCAUGCUUAGCACAUGGAAACAGAGACAAACCUAUACCAUCUUGCUGGGACCAGAUGGUCUGUAUAUAUGCUUGUGUAGACCAAGAAUUUCAUAUAGAGCUUCUCCAGAGGUCGACAUACUCCGUUGUCUUUGGGUAAACAAGUAAAACCUGUUCAAGUGGUUUGCAGUCAUUGAACAAAGAUCUAUUCCCAUUAAAACAAACUCUGUGGGUUGAAAGAACAGUGGCUCCUGGGACAAACUCUUCUUAAUGCAGAGGGUGGGAAUGAGAAAAGCCUGAGAGGUGGUAAUAUUGUUGGAAAGUAUAUCAGACUUGGAAUCCCUCAGCUCCACUUGUUACCAUUCAUGGAAGGCCAGGCAUCAAUGCCAAGGGCACCUUGAAGCAAAGG